RNAcentral lists this ribosomal RNA (500 nucleotides) under uncultured bacterium. Its description in RNAcentral is "partial 16S ribosomal RNA". It matches the Rfam family "Bacterial small subunit ribosomal RNA", at positions 30 to 523 of the family's 1533-position model. The record is from RNAcentral.
AUUGAACGCUGGCGGAAUGCUUUACACAUGCAAGUCGAACGGCAGCACGGACUUCGGUCUGGUGGCGAGUGGCGAACGGGUGAGUAAUACAUCGGAACGUGCCCAAUCGUGGGGGAUAACGUAGCGAAAGCUACGCUAAUACCGCAUACGAUCUAAGGAUGAAAGCGGGGGAUCGCAAGACCUCGCGCGAUUGGAGCGGCAGAUGGCAGAUUAGGUAGUUGGUAGGGUAAAGGCCUACCAAGCCGACGAUCUGUAGCUGGUCUGAGAGGAUGAUCAGCCACACUGGGGCUGAGACACGGCCCAGACUCCUACGGGAGGCAGCAGUGGGGAAUUUUGGACAAUGGACGCAAGUCUGAUCCAGCCAUUCCGCGUGCAGGAUGAAGGCCCUCGGGUUGUAAACUGCUUUUGUACAGAACGAAAAGGCUCUGGUUAAUACCUAGGGCUCAUGACGGUACUGUAAGAAUAAGCACCGGCUAACUACGUGCCAGCAGCCGCCGCGG